RNAcentral lists this unclassified non-coding RNA (145 nucleotides) under uncultured Tetracladium. RNAcentral describes it as "sequence contains ITS2". The record is from RNAcentral. Lineage: Eukaryota; Fungi; Ascomycota.
UCACCCCUCAAGCCUAGCUUGGUGUUGAGGCCUGCUGUCAAGGCAGCCUCUAAAAUCAGUGGCAGUGCUGUCAGGCUCUAAGCGUAGUAAAUCUAAUCGCUAUAGACACCUGGUGGACACUCGCCAGAACCCCCCAUUUUUUAAU